Molecule: ribosomal RNA, 255 nt
Filed under: uncultured bacterium
Lineage: Bacteria
Description: partial 16S ribosomal RNA
Rfam family: Bacterial small subunit ribosomal RNA
Source: RNAcentral
GACGAACGCUGGCGGCGUGCUUAACACAUGCAAGUCGAGCGGUGAACCACUUCGGUGGGGGUCGAGCGGCGAACGGGUGAGUAACACGUGGGCGAACCUAGCCCCUACGCACUGGGAUAACCCCGACGAAAUACGGGGCGUAAUACCGGAUAUGACUUCGAGCGGCAUCUCUCGAGGUGGAAAGAUUUAUCGGCUAGGGAUGGCCCGCGGCCUAUCAGCUUGUUGGUGGGGUAACGGCCUACCAAGGCGGACGAC